AUUUGGAAUAUAUAGGCCCUGUCGUGGGCACACGGAAUGGCCCCGCCGUAGUUAUACGUGACCGGCAGGCUAGACAAUGGUGAUUAAAUUUGAGCAACCAAAUGGGGGUCGGGCGGCCGGGGUGACCCGCGCAGUAGGUCCCAUUACGGAAAAACAGUGGAGUGAGCGAGCCUAUGGAAACCCCCCGUACGAGGGGGGUGAUCCUUAUUUCACAAAUAUAACGAGCAUAAAGGGAGUCCCAGCGUCCUAGAUUUAAGGGCCAAAGGCCGUUGAAUGGAAGGGGCCCUCCUCUCUCUUUUGGGGGGCCCUUUGGUUUUUUUUUUUUUUCCCCCCCCCCCCUCCGCCGUGCUCUACCGAUGAAUGCUCAGGAGCCUGGGAUGGCUUAGGAGGGUGGCAACGACCCCCCAGAGCCGAAAACUGGUCAAACUCGGUCAUUUAGAGGAAGUAAAAGUCGUAACAAGUUUCCGUAGGUGAACCUGCGAAGAUCAUUACCGAGUGAGGCCCUCUGGGUCCAACCUCCCACCCGGUUUAUUUUACCUGUGCUUCGGCGGGCCCGCCUUAACUGGCCGCCGGGGGGCUUACGCCCCCGGGCCCGCGCCCGCCGAAGACACCCUCGAACUCUGUCGAAGAUGUGUCGAGGAAAAUAUAAAUUAUUUAAAACUUUCAACAACGGAUCUCUUGGUUCCGGCAUGAUAAGAACGCAGCGAAAUCGAUACGUAAGUAAUUCAAAUUCAGUAAUCAUCGAGUCUUGAACGCACAUUGCGCCCCCUGGUAUUCCGGGGGGCAUGCCUGUCCGAGCGUCAUUGCUGCCCUCAAGCACGGCUUGUGUGUUGGGCCCCGUCCUCCGAUCCCGGGGGACGGGCCCGAAAGGCAGCGGCGGCACCGCGUCCGGUCCUCGAGCGUAUGGGGCUUUUCACCCGCUCUUAGGCCCGCCGCGCUUCCGAUCAACCCAAAUUUAUCCAGGGUGACCUGGAUGAGGUAGGGAACGUGCGG
This 993-nucleotide ribosomal RNA is filed under the name Penicillium chrysogenum. RNAcentral's name for it is "eukaryotic LSU rRNA". The stretch from base 659 to 803 matches the Rfam family "5.8S ribosomal RNA". Lineage: Eukaryota; Fungi; Ascomycota; Eurotiomycetes; Eurotiales; Aspergillaceae. The record is from RNAcentral.